UGUACUCAGCGGUGCCUGAGACAGAGAGAGAGGGGUGUGUUGUUUUGGGCGCUACUUCACCACAGCGACGGAACGUCAGAAGGCCCCCCCAUCUGUCUAAAGCACGGCUCACCAGAAUACUCGUGGUACGCCUCCUCUUUCAGCAGGUCGCCGCAGCCGAAGUCGAUCGGCUUCACCAGGAGAGUGUCCGUUUGAAGGAGCAGGUUCUCCCCUUUGACAUCCCGGUGCAGGACGUUGCGGUCUCGGCAGUGACGGCACGUCAGCACCGCCUGUUUCAUGAUGCCCCUCGCCGUGUCCUCACUGAAGGCCCCGUCCACGAUGGUGCACAUGUAAUCGUACACGUCUGUGCACGGCGCGGGAUGCUCCAUGACCAGGACGAUGCGGUCGGGCAGGUCGAACCAAUCCAAAAGCCCCACGACGUGGUCACAUGCCGGGGGCUUGGACACUAGCAAAUGGAGGGCCACCUCCAGGGGCUAAAGUGGGGAGGUUGGUUAACACAGAGUCAUGGUGUUCCAGGCCAAGGCAGACAGACCCAAAGCCUCCUUGUCCCAGCAUCUUGCCUACAUCACAGAGCGAGGAGAACAUGGCUGCAAAAGGAGAUCAAAUAUUCACAAAUUGUUUAUGACUGGCCCAAGUCCCAAGAUAUCUCAACAGGCCCAGAAAUGCAACACUGUGUGGUGUCUGAUCAUUGAAACAUACGGCAAGUACCGAAAAAAUAUGUCCGACCAAAAAAUGGUGCCUGCAAACGCCCCAAAACAUUGCAGCAAAUUUCCCAGAGCUUGGGCAGCGGCGUCCCCCGGGAACAUGCUGAUGUUGAGGUGACGCUGGCACGGCUCUUCUUGGCCGCGCUGAGGUCCUCCGUGUCCAAGUCCAGGGAAGAGGUGUCCCUCUUUCUCUUGGAACUCUGGACAGACCGGCAUGCCUGAUCAUGUUGGGUCGGUGGGUUACAUUGUCUUUCCUUCUGCUACAGGAGUCUUCCUCUCCAGGGAGACUGCUCUGUGUUGACCGGGGACUACACACUCCAGGGGGCACCAGGGAAAUCCUCUUGGCAGUGGCUUGUUUCCUUUUUUUUGGAGUGUUUUCGGGAAGGGCCUUCAUCGCUCUCCGAAUCAAACUGGCUCUUCCUCUUCAUCCUUCAUCGUCUGUACUCUUUUUAUUUGUCGAAGCAACUAGGUAUUCUUUGUAUCACAUUUGUUUCCCUCAAGACAUUGUGCUGUUACACUGACACCAAGAAUAUAUUAUAUACAAUAUAUACAUUUUUUAUAUUAGAUUAGUUUCAACUUUAUUGUCAUUGAACAAGUACAAGCUACGAAAUGCCAUUAGCAUCCAACCAGAAGUGCAAAUAGAAGAGGGCAGAACAUUUACAAAAGACAACAUGGCCUAAAAUUAACAUCAGUCACUGGCCAAAUUAAGGUAAGCCCACAUUUUGCCACUGGUGGAUUAAUUAUUAUUUACUAUUUGAUCACAAUGGGUUCUGUACAGCCCACUUAAUUCUCACUCACUGUUUGGGACAUAAAAGUACUCUGAAGUCAGUAAGUAUGCUUAAGUAGUGAUUUAAAAUAUUGUUAAUGCUAUAUUUAUUAAGAAAGUUCCUAGAGCACGGUAGCCUACGGCUUUUAGCUGUAACUCAGGAAACCGCUCGAAUGUGUGGCAUUACAUUAUCGAAAGUUCGCGCGUGUCAAAACUAGCUAGCACGAUGCGCUUAAACUUUUAAAAAUGUUGAUCAAUAUUGUAAGCAGAUUUUUCUGAUAUGUUCAACAAGCCUCAUUAAUUGACACGGUGUAUAACUCCACUACACUAUUUGGGGUUUUAAGAAGUAAGAUUACACACAAUACUGGAAAAAAUGGGACAUACUGUACGGUCCUAACUAUGGAAACUCCAAUGCAAUCAUUCUGCAAAAUGCCUAUGCAUAAUUAUAUUUAAUUUAACUCAUGGUGUUAUUGAUAGACCUAAAUAUUAUGUGGCAAUCGACGUCUUAUAUUGUGCUAUAUAGUUAUUUCAGAAUAAAUAUCUCAGGGUCGUGUCGUUAUCAAAUGUAGGCCUAGGCUACCACUUACCAGAACUGUAGUUAUCGCAGCGGUGUCGUACUCAUAUCUGAACUAAUUCUCAAUCAACUGCCCACUUAACAGAGAUGUGACGUUGUCACCUGGCACACGUCACUAUAGAUCUGUAGUUAUAGCAGCGGUAUCGUACUCAUAUCUGAACCAUAGACUGUAUAUAAAAGAUCUGAACCAAUUCUCAAUCAACUGUCCACUUGAGACAUGACGUUAUCACCUGGCACACGUCACAAUAACCGACAAGACCGCGGCCCAACGCAGACCGAAUCAAGCCCCCCCUUGCGCGAGUAAUAAACAAAACAAGUUCAACACUGAAAUGAGUACAUUGAAAGUUCAAUUGUUUUAAAUCUAAAUAUCGUAUUUCUAUGGUUCGGAAUUACACCGACUUGCCCUAAUAAGUGUCAAUACAUUCUCAGUGGUACUGUGGAACCAGAAGGCACGCACUGCAGUCUACUGUUGAAAAUGUAGGAAAGCAGGUGACCUUCUAAAGUGUACAUUGCAGAUUAUUACCUAUUAAUUGUAAUAAAUAAACGGUUUAACUGAAGUUUUAUUAAUUUUCAUAUUUAAUGUAAGCCUAUAAAUUGCCUAGUCCAGGCCUUGUUUGAGUCAGGUACGUUUUUAUUCCAGUAAUAAACACAUUUAGAAGGUCUCUUGAA
Esox lucius (northern pike) is the source of this 2713-nucleotide long non-coding RNA. RefSeq lists it as uncharacterized. The transcript has 2 exons. The record is from RefSeq and is a predicted model, not a curated record. Lineage: Eukaryota; Metazoa; Chordata; Actinopteri; Esociformes; Esocidae.